Molecule: ribosomal RNA, 497 nt
Filed under: uncultured bacterium
Lineage: Bacteria
Description: partial 16S ribosomal RNA
Rfam family: Bacterial small subunit ribosomal RNA
Source: RNAcentral
GAUGAACGCUGGCGGCGUGCCUAAUACAUGCAAGUCGAGCGAACAGACGAGGAGCUUGCUCCUCUGACGUUAGCGGCGGACGGGUGAGUAACACGUGUAUAACCUACCUAUAAGACUGGGAUAACUUCGGGAAACCGGAGCUAAUACCGGAUAAUAUAUUGAACCGCAUGGUUCAAUAGUUAAAGACGGUUUUGCUGUCACUUAUAGAUGGAUCCGCGCCGCAUUAGCUAGUUGGUAAGGUAACGGCUUACCAAGGCAACGAUGCGUAGCCGACCUGAGAGGGUGAUCGGCAACACUGGAACUGAGACACGGUCCAGACUCCUACGGGAGGCAGCAGUAGGGAAUCUUCCGCAAUGGGCGAAAGCAUGACGGAGCAACGCCGCGUGAGUGAUGAAGGUCUUCGGAUCGUAAAACUCUGUUAUUAGGGAAGAACAAAUGUGUAAGUAAAUAUGCACGUAUUGACGGUACCAAAUCAGAAAGCCACGGCUAACUACGUG